Scylla paramamosain (green mud crab) is the source of this 905-nucleotide long non-coding RNA. RefSeq lists it as uncharacterized. The record is from RefSeq and is a predicted model, not a curated record. Lineage: Eukaryota; Metazoa; Arthropoda; Malacostraca; Decapoda; Portunidae. The transcript has 3 exons.
AAAUAAUACCUCCACCCCAUGUUUAUUGAUGUGUCAAUUAGGGGCUCCAUUACUUGGAGGUCAUUAGCCCCAGCUCUCGCUAAUGACUGUGGCAUCCAACCAUAUCUAAUACUCUAUAAUAUAAACAUUAGUUGUUAACUAUAAAUUCACUCUACCUCUACUCUACCUACUCUUAUGCCACUCUCCACCACUGUAGCCUCGCAGUCGAGGCCUCCUAAGUCUGCAGGUAUGGGAGUGGAAUGCCUUGUCCCCCUGAGACACAGGAGGGCAGAUCUGAGGAGGGAGAAUGAGAGACGGCACCUCAUCCAUGCGACGACAUGGCUCCUUGGCUGGUGCUUCUUUUCUGCCAUUAGGUCGGCUAGUCUUGAGUAGAAGCACUGAGCCUUGGAGCCCAUCCCGCCAGAUGUGGUGAAGACCAAAGGUGUGAAGCUGCCCUGGUCAACGUGUUGGAUUCUCUCCCCAUACGCUCGGAUCUUCUCCUACUACUACAACUACUACUACUACUACUCUUUUUUACCUUUAAACUAGUGUAGCAAGACGGAACCACCACCACCACUACUACUAACUACUACUACUACUACUACUACUACUACUACUACUACUACUACUACUACUACUACUACUACUACUACUACUCUUUUUACCUUUACUAGUGCAGCAAGACGGAACCACCACUACCACCACCACCACCACCACCAUCACCACCACUACCACCACCACCAUCACCUCUUCCUCCUCCUCGGCCGGCCACGUCGAAAACCUCACGCCACCGCCUCCGCCACCACAACCACGGCGGCGAAACCUUAUCACCCGCCCCUGGGAGACCUCACAGGGCCCGUCAGAUGCCCAACUCACCGUAAACACGAGAAAAAUUGAGGAGGGCGACAAGAACCACGUGGUAAGCU